This 245-nucleotide ribosomal RNA is filed under the name Neogloboquadrina incompta. RNAcentral describes it as "partial 18S ribosomal RNA". It matches the Rfam family "Eukaryotic small subunit ribosomal RNA", at positions 1176 to 1347 of the family's 1831-position model. The record is from RNAcentral. Lineage: Eukaryota; Foraminifera; Rotaliida; Globorotaliidae.
CGUGGAGCAUGUGGCUUAAUUUGACUCAACGCGGGAAAUCUUACCAGGUCCGGACACACUGAGGAUUGACAGGAAGUAUCGUCUUUUGAAUUCUUUAAGGAUAUGUCGUUUUUAAUGACAUCUUUUAGAUGGAUGAUUCGUGUAAAUAUGCUAGUUCUUUCAUGAUUAUGUGAUAGGUGGUGCAUGGCCGUUCUUAGUUCGUGGAGUGAUCUGUCUGCUUAAUUGCGUUUCACUAAGGCCCCAAA